Long non-coding RNA from Macaca fascicularis (crab-eating macaque), 2367 nucleotides. NCBI's taxonomy places the organism in Eukaryota, Metazoa, Chordata, Mammalia, Primates, Cercopithecidae. The record is from Ensembl.
GUUACUGCUGCUUUUAGAGUGGAGAUCUAGAAAGGGCCAUUUCUCUACAGGACAGUGCACAGCUUGCCACAGAUCCACAGGAGGGAUUCGGAGACCUCACAGCCUUUGGAAAAAUGACCAAAUAUCUAAUUCUGAAGACUAAUACAUUUUGGUACUAUGAAAACAUCUCCCAUUAAGUAGAAAACCCCAGACAGGGCUUCCAGCCUGCGACACUUUCCCUCUCACAGACCCUGGUGACCACGGAUCCACGACUCCUGCAGCCGUGAAUGUGGCUCUGAGUCCUGCUCCCAGGCCCGAGGAGCUGCUCUCGACCCAUUGGAGCCCGCCCAGCAUGCAGAACCAUCACUGCAGAUGGGCUCUAGCCCUCUCCCUGCCUAGGAUCUGCACCAGUGAUCUGCAGACAGAAGACCCAGGGAAAGCUGGGAAUCACCUAGGGUGUGUUCUCCCUGUCUAGCGCUGAAUGAGAAGCCACCCCCAAGCUGAGUGUCCUAAAGCAACACCAUUGUUUGCCUUACUCUUGAGUCUGCGAUCCGGGCAGCGCUUGGUGCAGUAGCUUGUCUCUGCUCAGCUCUGACUCUUUUAGGGCAGGCGGCUUGCGGGCUGGGGCUGGCAACACUGAGGUCCCUCAUGCAGCUGGUGGCUGGUGGCUGUUGUUGACUGUCGGUUGACUAACAGCUCCCUUGCUGGAGCUGUGGGCCGGGACUGCUGGGCUUCCUUACAAUGUGGUGGCCAGAGUCAUGUUACUGUCUGUAACCCAUCGUCCUAAGUCACCUAAAACCCUCUCUCCUCUUCAUCUCAGCAGUCGUGAAGGCACCCCUGGUUUCAAGGAGAGGGGAAAUAGACUCUGCCUCUCAAUGAGUGGCCAGAUCCUGGAGGAGCUCAGAAAUACUGCUGUGGCUGUUUCUGGACCAUGAGAUCUGCAACCUGCUGUGCCGUGGGCUAGAGGUCAGACCUACCAGGGAGUCUGGGCCCAGGGGUCAGGUUCCAAAGAUGGUUCACCACCAGGAGUUAGGGACAAAGUCCAGAAUGCCUCUUCACUGCAUGGACGUGAUCAUGUGGCACUGCCCCACCGGGACAUCAGUGUCUGCUCUGGCCCUCAUUAGCACAACGAGACCAGACCCAGACACAUCUCAGGGGCCUCGGCUCCCACUGCCUGCAAUGCCAGGACACGCUGAUCUGUGAAUCCUUGGAAUCUCCUUCAGGAAAUGACCCACUCAAAGGGAGGAUUUGUCAUCCUGGGGCAUUGUAUACAUCUCAUCCAACUUUCAGACAAGCUGUAAUUCUGUGAGUAACGGCUUGGCAGUGUGAGGUGAUGUCAUCAGGGCAGACGCUUUGGUGGAGAGGGAUAUGUGGCCUGGACACAGCCACCUCCCCCAUGGAGCCCCCAGAGCUCACCUACCUCAGGAAAGUCAGGGCAGUCAGCUCCUGCCAGCCAGGAUGUUCAGCUGGGAGCUGGAGGCAAGGGCAUCCAUUGGGCUUGGACUUCUAUACCUGUGACACCUGUGCAAGUGAUGGACUCCCCGAGCCAGGGUCCCCGGCACUCCCACGAGGAGGAGCCUGAGGGUGAAGGAUGGCUGCUCAGCACACAGGCUGUGAUGGGCCCCAGCUUUGUCCUCCCACUGCCCCGUAUGGGUCACCCGAGGCCUCUACCCUCCCCGUCACAUGACAGCGCCUACCUUGCAGCAACGUGCAUGAAGGGCCCAGGGCCCCCUUUCCUCCUCUGAGGCCCCGCAUGCUGCCAGACACAUUUGAGGUCCUUGGUCAGCACCUCGGGGUCACAGGACCUGAGGCCUCUGUCUGGCUUCUGACCAUUCUCAGAAUGGGAUCUGACCUGUGGCCAGGACUCAGGAGCACCUGGCACCUGGAGCUGUCUGCACUGGGGCAGAGUAGGCCAUCUGUGUCCAAGUGCUCAGCUGGGUUGCAUGUGGACCCCAGUGAGGACGGAGAUGGGGGGCUACUUUCCUGUGUCUGGGUGGAGAUCUACUCCAAAUGCCCAUGUCCUGUAUCAGAGCCAGUAGAUUUGAGUCUUGGAAGGGACUUUGGCAAUCUCAAAGGUCUACGAAAGAAAACGGCCAGGCGUGGUGGCUCACCCCUGUAAUCCCAGCACUUUGGGAGGCCAAGGCACGUGGAUCACCUGAGGUCAGGAGUUCCAGACCAGCCUGGCCAACAUGGUGAAAUCCUGUCUCUACUAAAAAUACAAAAAUUAGCCGGGUGUGGUAGCACACACCUGUAAUCUUAGCUACUCAGGAGGCUGAGGCAGGAGAAUUGCUUGAACCUGGGAGAUGGAGGUUCCAGUGAGCCAAGAUCAUGCCACUACACUCCAGCCUGGGCUACAGAGCGAGGCUCCAAACUCAAAAAAAAAAAAAA